AAUCCCCUGCGGUGUGCGUCAAGGCCAUACAUUCCUUGAACCAAUGCGAAGGCAUCGGGCCGCGGACCAACGACGCCGCUGUUGUGAACGCUCCUUCGUCGAGCGUACCUGAAGCGGCAGGAAAGCAGCCACUCUGAACCCAGGUUCAGGAUGCCGGCCUAACGGCACAGGCGGGGGACCC
RNAcentral lists this non-coding RNA (181 nucleotides) under Rhodocyclaceae bacterium. Its description in RNAcentral is "6S RNA". It matches the Rfam family "6S / SsrS RNA". From Rfam's summary of the family: E. coli 6S RNA was the first non coding RNA to be sequenced, but its function was unknown until recently. Lineage: Bacteria; Pseudomonadati; Pseudomonadota; Betaproteobacteria; Rhodocyclales; Rhodocyclaceae. The record is from RNAcentral.